CGGACGGGUGAGUAAUACAUAGGAAUCUGCCCAGUAGCGGGGGACAACUUGGGGAAACUCAAGCUAAUACCGCAUACGCCCUACGGGGGAAAGCAGGGGAUCUUCGGACCUUGCACUAUUGGAUGAGCCUAUGUCAGAUUAGCUUGUUGGUGGGGUAACGGCCUACCAAGGCGACGAUCUAUAGCUGGUCUGAGAGGACGAUCAGCCACACUGGGACUGAGACACGGACCAG
Molecule: ribosomal RNA, 232 nt
Filed under: uncultured bacterium
Lineage: Bacteria
Description: partial 16S ribosomal RNA
Rfam family: Bacterial small subunit ribosomal RNA
Source: RNAcentral